CUGGGAGAUUGCUGACUACUUACAGCCACCCCCUUCCCAAGCAGCCACAAGAAGAUGGACACAGAAGCGGGCAUGCAACCAGGACAUGCAUUGGUGCAGGUCAGGACUGCUGGACAUACACACAGCAAUCAGCUCGUUCCAAGGAGACCUCUAUUCCUCAGACAGGCUGAUUAUGCCUGUUGCCAAAAAUUUUGAGGCAUGAGAGGACUACUGCGCUUGAAACGUGGUGGAAUUCUUAAGAGGGCUUACAAAGCUGUUCUCUGGCUAGAAUAGAGCAGUCUGCAGCCAAAGGCCCUGCCUUCCAGGUCAUUGAGACCACAAUAAAACAAAGCCAGACUCAGAAAGCAACUUUGAAUCAUACAUUGCAGAAAGAGUAUCAAACCUCAGCAAUUUUGUCACAAGAAAAAUUUAUUGAAAGCAAUCUCCUAACCUGCAGAAGUGCUAAAGGGACCAUCUAUUUCAUCUUUUCCCAUGGAUUUCUUCUUUCAUGCAUUCUAGGAUGUACUUUAAAUUCUCAGUGA
Molecule: long non-coding RNA, 521 nt
Filed under: Chloebia gouldiae (Gouldian finch)
Lineage: Eukaryota; Metazoa; Chordata; Aves; Passeriformes; Passeridae
Description: Erythrura gouldiae (Gouldian finch) lncRNA (ENSEGOG00005007150.1)
Source: RNAcentral